Molecule: non-coding RNA, 1748 nt
Organism: Odocoileus virginianus texanus
Lineage: Eukaryota; Metazoa; Chordata; Mammalia; Artiodactyla; Cervidae
Source: RefSeq, a predicted model, not a curated record
AGUAAAUUCAGUACUAGAAGCUCCUGGAUAGUUAUGCUAGUUUUAUACUUUGCUGACAAUUUUAAUUGUAUGUUCACAUACAUACAAACAUCUUGCACUUUCAAGUUGUAGGAAAUAUUAGAAACUAUUUCAUUUCCAUCAAAGAACUGAAAGUUUAAAUAUCUUUCCCUUCUUUCUCCUUCCCUCCUUCCUACCUUUUUUGCUUCCUUCUAUAUGACAUUUUGUUUAAUAUGACAUGACAGUCAUCAAUAGAACAUGAUUCCAUAGUAUGCAAGAGUCAAUAAUCCUCUACACUGUGUUCAAAUUUUCCCUACAAAGAAGUCGCCGAAAAGAUAUAAACAUUCAUUUAAAUAAAGAAUAUGGUAAACCAGCUUCUUAAAAAAGCCUAGAUACAAAAAUAAGAGUAUAUUUUUGUUAAAGAAGAAACAAAAUCUUCAACUGGGUUAAAUUAUUAACAGAUUUUGUUUUUCGUGAGAGUAUUUUUGUGUCAAACAUCCUAGAAAAUAUUAGAUAUUGCAGAUGAAUAAGACUGUUUUCCAAGUGCUGGUGAUUCAGUGGGGGUGAAGGAAAAAGAGAGAGAGAGAAGAAGAAUAAACAGAUGAGUAAAAUGAGGAAUGUCAAAAUCAAGUGCCAGAGAUGAUAAGAUAGUGCAGCAGCAAAAUAUUUCAGUCUGGAGAGAGAUUUUGGAAGAGGUAACACUUGAAAAACUUAAGAGAGAGAAAGAUGAAAAGGAGAGGCAAGAGUGUGACAAAAGGGAAGAUAAUACAGGGAUACCUUAGAGAUAUUGUGGGUUUCAUUCCAGACCACUGCACUUAAGCAAAUAUCUCAAUAAGACAAGUCACAUGAAUGUUUUGGUUUCCCAGUAAUAAAGUUAGAUUUAUACUAUAUUGUAGUCUAUUAAGUGUGCAAUAGCAUUAUAUCUAAAAACUGUACAUACCUUAACUAAAAAAUGCCUGUCUGUUAAUAAAUACCACUGAUCACCUUACUGUCAAGAAGUCCUAAUUUUUUGCUUGGUAGAGUCUUGCCUCAGUGUUGAUGGCUGCUGAGUCAGGGUGGUGGUUGCAGAAGGUGACCCUGACAUUUUCUUAAAAUAAGGAAACAAUGAAGUUUGCCACAUGAAUUGACUCUUCCUUUCAUGAACAAUUUCUCUGUAGCAUGUAGUAUGGUUUGGUAGCAUAUUACCCACAAUAGAACUUCUUUCAACAUUGAAGUCAGUUCUCCCAAACUUUGCUGCUGCUCUAUCAGCUAACUUUUAUUUAGUAGUCAAACUCUGUUGUCUUUUCAACAAUCUUCACAGCACCUCACCAGGAGUAGAUUCCUUCGCAAGAAACCACUUUCUCGGCUCAUCCAUAGGAACUAACUCCUCAUCCACUAAAGUCUGAUCAUGAGAUUGCAGCAGUUCAGUCGCAUCUUCAGGCUCCACUUCAGAUGCUAGUUCUCUUGCUGUUUCUAUCACAUCGGCAGCUACUUCCUCCGUGAAGUCUUGAACCGCUCCAAGUCAUCUAUAAGGGAAUAGGAAGGCCAGGGGAGAGGCAGAGAUACACAAGAAAAGCUUGUCAGUGGAGUCGUCAGAAUGUGAACAACAUUUAUUAAGUUGUCUGGCAUGUGUGGGUACAGUUCAUAGCACCCCAAAGCAAUUAUUAGUUUGGUGCAAAAAUAAUUGCGGUUUUGCAUUGUGGAACUUUGCCAUUUGAUAUUGUAAUACAUUCUUAAAUAAAUGUGGUUAUGUUGUACAUCCUUUUAAUGCA